GCCGGUGUAGCUCAGCGGCAGAGCAGCUGAUUCGUAAUCAGCUGGUCGGGGGUUCGAGUCCCCCCACCGGCUCCA
Molecule: transfer RNA, 75 nt
Filed under: Nitrospirota bacterium
Lineage: Bacteria; Pseudomonadati; Nitrospirota
Description: Nitrospirae bacterium (hot springs metagenome) tRNA-Thr
Rfam family: tRNA
About the family: Transfer RNA (tRNA) molecules are approximately 80 nucleotides in length.
Source: RNAcentral